UAGAGUUUGAUCCUGGCUCAGAUUGAACGCUGGCGGCAUGCCUUACACAUGCAAGUCGAACGGCAGCACGGGAGCUUGCUCCUGGUGGCGAGUGGCGAACGGGUGAGUAAUACAUCGGAACGUACCCAGGAGUGGGGGAUAACGUAGCGAAAGUUACGCUAAUACCGCAUAUUCUGUGAGCAGGAAAGCGGGGGAUCGCAAGACCUCGCGCUCUUGGAGCGGCCGAUGUCGGAUUAGCUAGUUGGUGAGGUAAAAGCUCACCAAGGCGACGAUCCGUAGCAGGUCUGAGAGGAUGAUCUGCCACACUGGGACUGAGACACGGCCCAGACUCCUACGGGAGGCAGCAGUGGGGAAUUUUGGACAAUGGGGGCAACCCUGAUCCAGCCAUGCCGCGUGAGUGAAGAAGGCCUUCGGGUUGUAAAGCUCUUUCGGCGGGGAAGAAAUGGCAACGGCUAAUAUCCGUUGUUGAUGACGGUACCCGCAUAAGAAGCACCGGCUAACUACGUGCCAGCAGCCGCGGUAAUA
RNAcentral lists this ribosomal RNA (525 nucleotides) under uncultured bacterium. RNAcentral's name for it is "bacterial SSU rRNA". It matches the Rfam family "Bacterial small subunit ribosomal RNA", at positions 1 to 525 of the family's 1533-position model. The record is from RNAcentral.